GGGGUCGAAUGGUUUUGACAGCGGGUUGAAUGGAACCGUAAGCAUGCCGAGCGUCGUAGGAAUGGCUCGUAAACCCAGCCUUCAAUUCUUUAAACGGCGAAAAUAACUACGCUCUAGCUGCGUAAUCUGAAUCAUAGUAAGAUUACCCUCGUCCCAACUAGGUUGGGAGGCUGGAUUCCUUGCAGAAGCCUUGGUUUGUGGCGUCUGAAAACAGGGAACCGUAAACAUAAACCUGGAAGUGGUAAUGCUUUAACCCCACUUUGAGACAAAAAAAGCUAAGUGUAUGGUGGCUGAUUUUGGCCUAGCUAUGCAUCGAAAACCCAAUCAAAAUCUAAUCAUGUAGAAAGCGCUUGCAUUACCUGUUUGGACCCGAGUUCGAAUCUCGGCGGCUCCACAA
RNAcentral lists this transfer-messenger RNA (397 nucleotides) under Flavobacteriaceae. Its description in RNAcentral is "Flavobacterium sp002256385 Standard tmRNA". It matches the Rfam family "transfer-messenger RNA". From Rfam's summary of the family: Bacterial tmRNA, also known as 10Sa RNA or SsrA, is named for its dual tRNA and mRNA-like properties. Its role is to liberate the mRNA from a stalled ribosome. RNAcentral also lists the same sequence under 1 other name. The record is from RNAcentral. Lineage: Bacteria; Pseudomonadati; Bacteroidota; Flavobacteriia; Flavobacteriales.